Molecule: ribosomal RNA, 542 nt
Filed under: Salmonella enterica
Lineage: Bacteria; Pseudomonadati; Pseudomonadota; Gammaproteobacteria; Enterobacterales; Enterobacteriaceae
Also listed under: 1 other name
Description: partial 23S ribosomal RNA
Rfam family: Bacterial large subunit ribosomal RNA
Source: RNAcentral
CCGAACCGACUAAUGUUGAAAAAUUAGCGGAUGACCUGUGGCUGGGGGUGAAAGGCCAAUCAAACCGGGAGAUAGCUGGUUCUCCCCGAAAGCUAUUUAGGUAGCGCCUCGUGAAUUCAUCUCCGGGGGUAGAGCACUGUUUCGGCUAGGGGGCCAUCCCGGCUUACCAACCCGAUGCAAACUGCGAAUACCGGAGAAUGUUAUCACGGGAGACACACGGCGGGUGCUAACGUCCGUCGUGAAGAGGGAAACAACCCAGACCGCCAGCUAAGGUCCCAAAGUCAUGGUUAAGUGGGAAACGAUGUGGGAAGGCCCAGACAGCCAGGAUGUUGGCUUAGAAGCAGCCAUCAUUUAAAGAAAGCGUAAUAGCUCACUGGUCGAGUCGGCCUGCGCGGAAGAUGUAACGGGGCUAAACCAUGCACCGAAGCUGCGGCAGCGACACUGUGUGUUGUUGGGUAGGGGAGCGUUCUGUAAGCCUGUGAAGGUGUGUCGUGAGGCAUGCUGGAGGUAUCAGAAGUGCGAAUGCUGACAUAAGUAACGAU